Nicotiana attenuata is the source of this 623-nucleotide long non-coding RNA. RefSeq lists it as uncharacterized. Lineage: Eukaryota; Viridiplantae; Streptophyta; Magnoliopsida; Solanales; Solanaceae. The transcript is spliced from 2 exons. The record is from RefSeq and is a predicted model, not a curated record.
UAGAAGAUCCAAGAGCUAAAUAUCUGAAAAAAUCAAAAUGGCUGAAAAUUGAAAACACAACACUGUUUCAUUGGGCUUUUCUGAUUUCUGAAAGCUUUCAUUUCCUGAAAUAAUUCUCUGAAUAGCUUGAAGUGGAAAUGGAUUACAUAGAGUGUGAUUUUGGGUGUUUUUUUGGAAGGGGUUUUGGUUUGGAUUUUGGGCUGGAUGUCACUGUUUCGUUUAAUUCUUCAAUUGCAUUCCUGAAAUGGUUUUAAGAGCUAUCUAAGUUGUGCUAAAUAGAGGCUAGCAUUUAAAAGCUGGUUUGAAGUUUGGAUUGGGAUCCAUUUGUGGUUUGAAAGCUGUGAUUUACUUGGUUCAUUUCUGCUGCUGGAAACUGUUGUUACUGCUGAAUCUUACCCUCUUUACUCUCAUUUCCAGGUGCAGCGAUUGUGGAAGAAAGCAGUGACGAAGACCUUACUUGAGUGUUGUUGAUCGUUGUUAAACUUUCUAUCAUCAUGUUCAAAGAUAUUUUAGUUUAGAACUUUUUGUAUGCAAACUCAUCUAUUUUGACUUUUGAAUUGUUGAUCAAACAAUGUAUUCACAUUUUGUUUUUGUAUAUGAGUAAUGCUAGUUGAAUAUUUUAA